UCACUCGGAUUGAAGAAACUACUUCAGGAAAGCCCCAAAAGGAGAAAAGCCAGUGCUGAGUAAUUUUCCUGGGUAUGUGCCCAUCAACCCCCUCAAAAUGAGAUUGCUUCCUUUUUCCUCAAAUGCGACAAAAUUACUUAGACACGGUGAGUGCUUCUCAGGACAUGGAUCCCCUUUCUUGCUUAAGCAAGAAGAGAGAAAAGAGGCCCCACGAGUGCAUUUACAGGUGUGGACAGCGUACGGUGCUCUGUGUGACUCCUUCUGCGCCCCCAAGCGGGAGGGAAUGUUUACGAAGCUCUUACUGUGUGCCAAGCCACUUUCUGGAAUGCUUUUAAUGAAAUCCUUACCAGUUGGAAACUACUGAUGUCACUGAGGAUCGCCAGCACGCUCCAGGACUAAGGGAAAAACCCUUCACCUGUACCUAGCAGAGCAUUGCACAAAGAAUUUGAAUGCUGGACAGAUUUUUUAAAGACAGGACUGGUUUGGGGGAAAAAGCUUGGAUAUAUUUUCUAAGGGUUGAAAAAGAAUGAAUUAAAGGGGAAAAGCCACAGGACACCAGGUGUCUCAUGAAAAA
This is a long non-coding RNA of Manis pentadactyla (Chinese pangolin), 574 nucleotides long. RefSeq lists it as uncharacterized. The transcript has 2 exons. NCBI's taxonomy places the organism in Eukaryota, Metazoa, Chordata, Mammalia, Pholidota, Manidae. The record is from RefSeq and is a predicted model, not a curated record.